CAGCCGCCGCGGUAAUACGUAGGGGGCAAGCGUUAUCCGGAAUUACUGGGUGUGAAGGGAGCGUAGACGGUUAAACAAGUCUGAAGUGAAAUGCCGGGGCUCAACCCCGGAGCUGCUUUGGGAACUGUAGAACUGGAGUGUCGGAGGGGUAAGCGGAAUUCCCAGUGUAGCGGUGAAAUGCGUAGAUAUUGGGAGGAACACCGGCGGCGAAGGCGGCUUACUGGACGACAACUGACGUUGAGGCUCGAAGGCGUGGGUAGCAAACAGGAUUAGAUACCCCGGUAGUCCCUGUCUCUUAUAC
This 301-nucleotide ribosomal RNA is filed under the name uncultured bacterium. Its description in RNAcentral is "partial 16S ribosomal RNA". It matches the Rfam family "Bacterial small subunit ribosomal RNA", at positions 509 to 807 of the family's 1533-position model. The record is from RNAcentral.